GAUGAACGCUGGCGGCGUGCCUAAUACAUGCAAGUCGAGCGAACAGACGAGGAGCUUGCUCCUCUGACGUUAGCGGCGGACGGGUGAGUAACACGUGGAUAACCUACCUAUAAGACUGGGAUAACUUCGGGAAACCGGAGCUAAUACCGGAUAACAUGUUGAACCGCAUGGUUCAACAGUGGAAGACGGUUUUGCUGUCACGUAUAGAUGGAUCCGCGCCGCAUUAGCUAGUUGGUAAGGUAACGGCUUACCAAGGCAACGAUGCGUAGCCGACCUGAGAGGGUGAUCGGCCACACUGGAACUGAGACACGGUCCAGACUCCUACGGGAGGCAGCAGUAGGGAAUCUUCCGCAAUGGGCGAAAGCCUGACGGAGCAACGCCGCGUGAGUGAAGAAGGUCUUCGGAUCGUAGAACUCUGUUAUUAGUGAAGAACAAAUGUGUAAGUAACUAUGCACGUCUUGACGGUACCUAAUCAGAAAGCCACGGCUAACUACGUG
Molecule: ribosomal RNA, 497 nt
Filed under: uncultured bacterium
Lineage: Bacteria
Description: partial 16S ribosomal RNA
Rfam family: Bacterial small subunit ribosomal RNA
Source: RNAcentral